CCCCACCCUCUCCUGACAUCCAUUCUGCAGACAUAAAACUAUAAAACAAAACCUUCUGGAACAAAACAUGAGGGAAAUAAUGGAUCCAGGUUAAGCAAUCAGCUAUGAGCAAGAUACCUUUGAGAAGUGUAAAGAAAAACCAGAUCACUGGAUUAUGACUUUAAUCAAAAUGAGACAGAUGAACCACUCAGAACUUCACAGUGUUUCUGCCAUCACCAUCACAUUGUGCCUAAGCAUAUUAUUCUGAGAUCUGCAAAAGAUUUUGAAUGUGUUUGACAUACAGUAACAAACAUCAGGUUGACAGACAUAUGGUAAAAGGCAGGAUAAUGUGAAGGAAAGCACAUUGGUUUCGAAAUUGGAACAGACCUCGAUUUUGCAGUUAACUCCCUGUGGAAACUUGGGCAACUCACUUAUUCUCCCUGAGCAAAAUUAUCUCAUCUACAAAAUGGAGAAAUAAAAAGCAGAGGUUAAAGAAUGUGCUCAAGGUUACUCUGUAAGGAAGUAAUGGAGCCAGAAUGCACGGACCAUCUGGAACCCUGAUACCAUCAGGAACACAAAAAUGGAUGCUAAUCAAAGAAGCCUCUUGAUCUCUUGAUCUUCCUGCUGCCUCAUUUCUUUAUUUAAUAGCAGGUGGACAUCCACCUCAGAGAGGGCUGAGAUACAGGCAGCUGUGGCAGAGCCAUCUGGCAAGAUUCUGCAUGGCCCUCUGUUUCAUGCCCUUAUUUUUAUUUAUUUAUGUUUUCUGAAACAGAGUCUCGCUCUGUCGUCCCAGCUGGAGUGCAGUGGCACUAUCUCAGCUCACUGCAACCUCCAUCUCCCCAGCUCAAACAAUUCUCCUGCCCCAGCCUCCUGAGUAGCUGGGAUUACAGGCAUGUGCCACCACGCCUGGCUAAUUUUUAUAUUUUUUUUAGUAGAGAUGGGGUUUCAUUAUGUUGGCCAGGGUGGUCUCAAACUCCUGACCUCAGGUAAUCCACCUGCCUCGGCCUCCCAAAGUGCUGGGAUUACAGGCAUGAGCCACUGUGCCUGGACUUCAUGCCCUUAUUCUUACUGUAACUUUAAACUGGCCUCUGAAUUUGGACUUGCUUGGACCUCCAAGCUCCUCCUUGUCUUCCCGGCCAAUCCAGCCCUCAGAAUUGCUAGCUGGGUUUGUUCUCCAGUCAUUUCCUAGUUUCCAGAUAUCUAUUCUCAUACUGCUGUGGACUCCAGUCCAGCACUAGGCCACUCCCUCAUAUUCUCUUCCCACUUACAAGGCAGGGUAGAGAACAUGGAAUCUGAAAGUUGAUCUCCUCCCCUGGAAGCUCACAGCAUAACCAGAAAUUCAAAACGCAGAUUUGCGAAACAACAGAUCACAAUACCAAGACAGCUUGUAAACAUUGAGAAUGUGUGAAGAUUGAACAAAGAAGCAGAGAGUUCAAAGGAAUUCAACAUAAAUCUAGGCUAUUUUCUAGGAGCCUGGUGACAGCUGAGCUUUCCUCUUACUGACAAGUCCAGAGCAAUGCAACCUCCCCAGUGGCCAGAGUUUUGACUUUCAAUACAGAUUAGCUAACUACCGACCAAUGAACAAGCCCAUAUGCUUUUAGCAGGUAGUAUGCAAAAGAAGCCCACAGGGCUUCUUUAUUUAUUUAGCUGGAUAAUGCGUCUCCCUAGGAUCUGUGCAGGGAGGAUAGCUACUUCUGAGGAUGCAAUGACAUGGCUUUUAGCUCAAACCUUGACAUGCCACCCCUCCCUCAUUCCUUUUCUUACCCCACAAUCAUUACCUUAAAAAGAAUUUUCACUUUAGAAAGUGACCUUGCUGGGCUGAAGCUUGAAGUUUUAAAAGCCCCCUAAGGUUUCAUUUUGAAAAGUCAUCAUGGACUUUAGAUUGACUUUCUCUUGAAGGCAGCUUAAACCUUGUUCAUUUGGGAGCACAAAAGAGAAGGUUUAGGAAUCCCAAGGCUUUAAUUGCCAGCUGUCUUAUUUCUCUGUUCACAUUUUUUUUCUUCUCUCCAGGAAGACUAAGAUGAGUGAAAUAAUUUCUUUCUUUUUAGUUAUCAUUGUAACAUUCAGGUUUUCCAUUACUGUCAAUUUCUUGAAACUUGUCUCAUUAGCAUUUUCAGAAGAGUUUAAAAAAACCUUUCAUCAAGGAAAAAAACGUGCAUGAUAUCUAAAUGCAAGUAAGUUGUCACGGGAUUUCAUUGACAUAAAUUUGUCCUCUCUUGUCUUCAUUUCUGCUUUCUCAGUUCCUCUUUUGAUAUCUUACAGCAAGCUUGUCCAACGCAGCCCAGAAUGGCUUUGAAUGAGGCCCAACAAAAAUUCACAAACUUUCUUAAGAACAUUAUGAGAUUGCUUUUUGGGAUUUUUUUUUUUUUAAGCUCCAUCAGCUAUCGUUAGUGUUAAUGUAUUUUAAUGUAUUUUAUGUGUGGCCCAAGACAAUUCUUCUUCCAAUGUGGCUCAGGGAAGCCAAAAGAUUGGACACCUCUGUUUAGAGCCUAGGAACCAUACCCAUGGCUCUUUACAGACUUGGAAAUAAGUGCCCUAGAUUAACAAAUAAAGCAUCUUAGAAGCAAGGUGUAAAGACGGACUGUGGGGCUUUUAUACCCCCUAAAACUUCUAAGAACAAAGAAAGAAAUGCCAAAAAGCCCAAUAGAAGCAACAAUAUAAAUAACAAAAUAACAUUCUAGAGGAAAUCAACCCAUGACUACAGGGUUUUCUGCAAGCUUCACAUAUUUUGUGUGUUUUUAAAAGAAGGAGAGCUGGGUUAGUGAGCAAACCUAAGGAGUCCUUAUUGCCAAUACAACUAGCAGGUAAGAGCUCCCUGGUGUUACACCUCAGUGAUGGAGAUUAAUCAACUCUUUAUUUCUCCUAACCCAAAAGUGCUUUUGUAAAUGCACAUGGAUUAGCACUAAGGAGCUAAUUAUCUUAUAAGCUGAGAUCACUUUUCCAAAGAGACAAACUCUCCCAGGAUCUAGAGCAGCAGCCUCUUUUAUAGCAUUUCCUGGAAAUGGAGACAUUGACUUGGAAGUUGCAUCAGCAAAUUGAGCAUGCAUUCUCCUGUGGGAACAUUGCAAGUUAGGAAAUGUGGGUCUCGUAUGUGGCCACAGAGAGAGAAGACAUGCAGACUGAAUGGUUUUCAAGCCAAAAAUGCAGAAUUGGCAAAAUCUAGAGUUGCUCACUCCUUAUCUCCUAGGUGAUGUUUUCUUCCAGCUCCAUUUGUUAGAAAUUGUGUAGUACCCACAGGACAUAGAAAGUAUUGUUUUAAGAGAGCCAGCAUUUUUGAAACAGGAAAGGUUCCCUUGUCCCCCUUGCAGGGCAUGCAAUGGGGGUGUGGCUCACUUCUUCAGUGCCCCGCUGCUCAAACCUCUAGGGGAGCAUACAGAUGGGCAGGCUGUGGGGCUCCAAUCCCACGGCAGUGUCUCGGGGUGAAAGUUUACAGGUGAAGCCCCAGUGGGCAUGUAUUAUAAGAUGCUCUUUUAGUUUGUCGUCUAUAGGCGGCUUGUAUUAACCAGCUCAGUUAGACCCUCUACCUUGUCACAAGGACAGAAGGUUUUCUGUAUCCCGGGUUCUUGCCUUGGUGUACUGGAAGAAUCGGAUCACAUGUGGGCUUGGAGAAUGAGUGCAAAGUUUUAUUAAGUGGAAGUAGCUCUUAGCCAAUGGGGGAGCCAGAAGGGAGAUGGUUUUCCCCUGGAUUUGGGCCACUCAGCAGCCCCGGCUCGCCUCGGACUGCCCUGGCCGAACUCUUCCUCAUCCUGCCAGCUGAUGGCCUGUCAGUGGGCCAGCCUCUGUCAGUGUGUUCUUCUGCUCACUAGCUUCUCUCGACGUCCUCUCGACGACCACUUGUUUCUUCUUCCACAGAUGUGUUCCUCUGGACAUCUGGCCUCCUGUGUGAGUGCUUGCUAGGGUUUCAUGUUUUUAUAGGCCCAGGAUGCGGAUGUGGCCCACCAGGGUGAUCUUGGGAAAUACAACAUUUGGGCAGGAAAUUCCUGUCCUCACCUAGGCCCGUAGGGGUGGAACCCUAGCCAGGGGCCCGCCUUUCUCUACCCAGCACUUCCCUUCCCCCUCUUCCUUAUUAUUUAAAGGGACCAUGCUCUUCCCUUCCCAGUACUCUCGUAUCAUUUUGACUGGAAAUUUCUGCUCUACCACUCUACUGCAAGAGAGAAGGUAGAACCUAGAGUACGAGUUGCUCACAAUCUGAGAUGAGCAGCUUCCUAGGCAGGGCUUUCUAAAUGUGGUGAAAACAGACAUUGAAGAGGGCACCUGGUUUUAAGCCUCUGUCAUUUCACAUACCCUUUAUUUACAAACUCUACUUUUUGUAUGCCCAUUGAAGUUUUACCUUGUUUUGUGAAAGAAAUUAUUUUGUCUAAUGAGGUUUAAAAAAUCCAUCUUCUGCAAUCCAUCAUAGGCUUCUAAAUUUUUUCCCCUAAUUCAAAAAAUAUUCAUUGACUACUUGCUAUGCUCCAGGCAUAGUUCUAGACACUGAGGAAUCAUUCAUGAACAAAAUUAACCAAAUCUCUGCCUUCAGGGAGUUUCCAGGCAAGGACAAAUUACAAAACAAAUAAAUUAUUAAGUUAUUUGAUGUAUUAGAAGGUGAUAAACAUUAUGGGAAUAAAUGAAUCCUAAAAGGAGGUUAGAGAGUUGAGGAAGGGGAAGGUUUCAUUUCAAAUGGGGUGAACAAGACAGUUUCACUAUAAUGAUGACAUUUGAAGAAGGAGAGGGAAUGAGACAUGUGGCUACCUGGGGAAGGUGGGGUGCGGGGCAGUGCGGGAAAUGAUCUAAGCAGAGGGAAAAGUACAAGCAAGCACCCUGAGAAGAGUUCAUGCCUGUAGAACAAUGCAUGAGGGGGAGAUGCAUAAGGGGUCACAUUGAACUUGGUAGCUCACUGUGAAGGUUUUGACUUUUUAUGUGAAGUAGGAUGGGACUCCUUGGAGAGUUUUCAUCAGAAGAGUAACAUGAUCUGACUUAAUAUUUUUAAAAGAGCUUCUGGCUCUAAUGUUAAAGCUAGACGCUAAGACGAUAGAGGUCAAAACAUGAUUUUGUAUUUUUCUGGCAAUUAAGAUAAAAUACAUUAGGUAAAAUAAAUUGGGUGGGCAGGCAUGCAGGGUUACAUCUAUAUAAUCUGUCUUCAAAUGCUUGUCUUGACUUCCCAGAUGCAAAUCUUUUUAUAAAGUCACCCUUCCCUCUUAAAUUUCCCAGAGUUUGAACCUGGAUCAUUCUUUAUCAGAAUAAUAUAGUUGUACUUUUUAUUGCUCUUGAAAAAUUAAAAGAGCCUAUAACCUUAAGGCCUUUUUCUUAAUGCAGAAAAGUAGAAGUUUUAACUAGUUUCUCUAAAUGCCUAAGAAUAUAAGAAGCAUUUUGAGACAGCUAAUGACCUGUAUAAGAUAAGAUAUCUUAAGUGUUCUGGCACAGAUAUUCCUAAGAACCCAAUUUGCUAACAAAUACAGCAGUGGCCAUAAUUCUAUAAAUGGGAAUAGUGGUAGGGAACCUAGUGGUCACCAUCCCAUUUUACAGAUGGAGAAGCAGCCCAAGCUCACACAACUAAGAAGUGGCAGAGUUGAACUUCAACUCUGCUCUGUCUAGCUAAAAGCCUUUCACCAGUGGUUUCUGGCUAGAGUAUUCUGCAGCUUCUUUUGUAGGAAGCUUAUUUUAAAGCAUGUCAAGAAUCUAAAUUAGCUUCUUAUUCCACAUUCUACACUUCCUUAGGAAACAAACUUUUAUUUCUCCCUUUAAAUAAAAAAAGCAAAACAAAAAGACAAGGGGUAUCAUUGGCCAUCAUAAUGGGGAGAGAAGUUGGAGACAGAAAGGCUAAAAUCAAUCAAGCUGAGAGGCCUGAAAACUAAUGCCUGUCCCAUGGUCCCCUCUUAAAUUGUCUAGUCACAGCACAGGACAGGCACCACAUGCCAAGUAACAUUACCCAAAGAUGAACCAAACCUGAAAAGGCAGCUGACUUUGCCUUCCCCAGUGCUAAAACUUGUUAAAGGAAUUUACUAAGUCUCAGAGGGUGUGAACUGAAAUAAUCUCCUUCAUCCUGAACUGAAAGAAGUGAUAAAAACCAAGAGACAGCCAAUGGCCUGGGUAGGGAGCAGUUGGCUUUCAGAAAAUAAAUUGAACACGUACAGACAACUCACACUUCCAACAAUUCCCCUCUGAAGAUGCAGGUGUCCUUCUGGGUAAAGUCCAUCAAACCUGACCUUUAAAAAAACAGAAUGAUUGGCUAAUUAUCAUCAACUGUUUUUUAAAUCAAUCUGUCAGAAUUCAAAUAGAGCAAUUUUCAGGGUAUUCUAAAAACUGAAUUUAAAUAAAAAAUAGCAAUUAUUUCAGAAUGACGGUAGGAGUCAUGGUGGCCCUUGCAGUACCUGUUGCAACCUUGUGUGGGAAUCAUUCCUGAGCCUGACUUUCCCGCUUGGGACACAGAGAAUGCAAGACCAGGCAGGCAGCUGCUGAUUUGGUACCAGUCACUUCAGGAAAUCAAAGAAAGCUGGAAAGUUGUUGGGAGCUAGUUUUGCUGGAGAGCUCUCAGAAAGAGGCGCCCAUCAUGACUGCCCUGGGGUUUGCUUGAGAAGUAACCAGACUCCCAGAGCAGGGGGAAAAGAGGCACCUGACCUGAAAAUAAAGAUUUGAGGCUCUGAGGAACAGUUUCAGGUGCUGUAGAAGGGAGCAGCAGGUUCUAGGGGAACCAAAGGGUUCAGAGAAGCAACCUCCUCUUCCUGCUACUGCCACAAAGACUCACCUUCAAGGGAAUGUCUUGCACUGCCUGAACAUAAAAAUUACUCUAAGUAGGAAAAAGUGUGUUUAUUCUCUGAAAAAAGAAAAUUCACAAUAUUGAGUGCUCAGAUUUCUCCCUCUCAGGCUGUCAUCUAUAUGCACAAAGUGUUUUGACUUUACAGUUAAAAGAAAAUCCCAAGGGUAAAAUAGUUUUUACUUUUUUAAGACACGUGUUUUCUAUUUUUUUCUCUUUUCUUGUGUUAAAGUUGGAAAUGAGUUACGAAAAAAAGAAGUACUUGUUUAUUUCCAGAUGGAGUGGGUUAAAGAGAGAAAGGGAGGAGCUCACCAGGAUUGAUAUGGGGACACUGGGUAGCCUCCGGACACCUCCAGAAGAAGGGAUUAUUGAGAAAGUAUAUUAUAUAUUUAAAAACAUUUUCUUAAACACCAUGGGGGAAGGGGAUGAGGUUGGGGAAUACGUUUUUACUUCUAAACAACCAUGUAUUCCAGAGUUGUCAAAUAAACAUUAUUUUUAUUUCA
Molecule: long non-coding RNA, 7215 nt
Filed under: Homo sapiens (human)
Lineage: Eukaryota; Metazoa; Chordata; Mammalia; Primates; Hominidae
Description: HSALNT0219791
Source: RNAcentral